GGGUUGUAAACUUCUUUUAUAAAGGAAUAAAGUCGGGUAUGCAUACCCGUUUGCAUGUACUUUAUGAAUAAGGAUCGGCUAACUCCGUGCCAGCAGCCGCGGUAAUACGGAGGAUCCGAGCGUUAUCCGGAUUUAUUGGGUUUAAAGGGAGCGUAGAUGGAUGUUUAAGUCAGUUGUGAAAGUUUGCGGCUCAACCGUAAAAUUGCAGUUGAUACUGGAUGUCUUGAGUGCAGUUGAGGCAGGCGGAAUUCGUGGUGUAGCGGUGAAAUGCUUAGAUAUCACGAAGAACUCCGAUUGCGAAGGCAGCCUGCUAAGCUGCAACUGACAUUGAGGCUCGAAAGUGUGGGUAUCAAACAGGAUUAGAUACCCUGGUAGUCCACACGGUAAA
RNAcentral lists this ribosomal RNA (388 nucleotides) under uncultured bacterium. Its description in RNAcentral is "bacterial SSU rRNA". It matches the Rfam family "Bacterial small subunit ribosomal RNA", at positions 420 to 806 of the family's 1533-position model. The record is from RNAcentral.